GACGAACGUUUGCGGCGUGCUUAACACAUGCAAGUCGAACGGAAAGGCCCUGCUUUUGUGGGGUGCUCGAGUGGCGAACGGGUGAGUAACACGUGAGUAACCUGCCCUUGACUUUGGGAUAACUUCAGGAAACUGGGGCUAAUACCGGAUAGGAGCUCCUGCUGCAUGGUGGGGGUUGGAAAGUUUCGGCGGUUGGGGAUGGACCCGCGGCUUAUCAGCUUGUUGGUGGGGUAGUGGCUUACCAAGGCUUUGACGGGUAGCCGGCCUGAGAGGGUGACCGGCCACAUUGGGACUGAGAUACGGCCCAGACUCCUACGGGAGGCAGCAGUGGGGAAUAUUGCACAAUGGGCGGAAGCCUGAUGCAGCAACGCCGCGUGCGGGAUGACGGCCUUCGGGCUGUAAACCGCUUUCGCCUGUGACGAAGCGUGAGUGACGGUAAUGGGUAAAGAAGCACCGGCUAACUACGUGCCAGCAGCCGCGGUGAUACGUAGGGUGCGAGCGUUGUCCGGAUUUAUUGGGCGUAAAGGGCUCGUAGGUGGUUGAUCGCGUCGGAAGUGUAAUCUUGGGGCUUAACCCUGAGCGUGCUUUCGAUACGGGUUGACUUGAGGGAGGUAGGGGAGAAAUGGAAUUCCUGGUGGAGCGGUGGAAUGCGCAGAUAUCAGGAGGAACACCAGUGGCGAAGGCGGUUCUCUGGGCCUUUCCUGACGCAGAGGAGCGAAAGCGUGGGGAGCGAACAGGCUUAGAUACCCUGGUAGUCCACGCUGUAAACGGGUGGGUACUAGGUGUGGGGGUCCAUUCCACGGGUUCCGUGCCGUAGCUAACGCUUUAAGUACCCCGCCUGGGGAGUACGGCCGCAAGGCUAAAACUCAAAGGAAUUGACGGGGCCCCGCACAAGCGGCGGAGCAUGCGGAUUAAUUCGAUGCAACGCGUAGAACCUUACCUGGGUUUGACAUGGAUCGGGAGUGCUCAGAGAUGGGUGUGCCUCUUUUGGGGUCGGUUCACAGGUGGUGCAUGGCUGUCGUCAGCUCGUGUCGUGAGAUGUUGGGUUAAGUCCCGCAACGAGCGCAACCCUUGUUCACUGUUGCCAGCACGUUAUGGUGGGGACUCAGUGGAGACCGCCGGGGUCAACUCGGAGGAAGGUGGGGAUGACGUCAAGUCAUCAUGCCCCUUAUGUCCAGGGCUUCACGCAUGCUACAAUGGCUGGUACAGAGAGUGGCGAGCCUGUGAGGGUGAGCGAAUCUCGGAAAGCCGGUCUCAGUUCGGAUUGGGGUCUGCAACUCGACCUCAUGAAGUCGGAGUCGCUAGUAAUCGCAGAUCAGCAACGCUGCGGUGAAUACGUUCCCGGGGCU
RNAcentral lists this ribosomal RNA (1349 nucleotides) under uncultured bacterium. RNAcentral's name for it is "partial 16S ribosomal RNA". It matches the Rfam family "Bacterial small subunit ribosomal RNA", at positions 28 to 1381 of the family's 1533-position model. The record is from RNAcentral.